AGCGAACGCUGGCGGCAGGCCUAACACAUGCAAGUCGAACGAACUCUUCGGAGUUAGUGGCGGACGGGUGAGUAACACGUGGGAACGUGCCUUUUGGUUCGGAAUAACUCAGGGAAACUUGUGCUAAUACCGAAUGUGCCCUUCGGGGAAAGAUUUAUCGCCAUUAGAGCGGCCCGCGUCUGAUUAGCUAGUUGGUGAGG
This 200-nucleotide ribosomal RNA is filed under the name uncultured bacterium. Its description in RNAcentral is "partial 16S ribosomal RNA". It matches the Rfam family "Bacterial small subunit ribosomal RNA", at positions 29 to 257 of the family's 1533-position model. The record is from RNAcentral.